AUGAGCAUGUGAUCGGUCCUGCUGCCACAAAUGUUUUCCCUCUAGGUCCAUAUCUGAAUCUCACACAGACUGACUCACUCUGCGGCCGCACACGUCACUACUACCCGGCAGCGUCAGGCUGUCAUUUGUUUCCUUUUGGAACGGGAUGUUCUAUAAUAGCUCCAACUCCCACUCCAUAGUUUAUGAAAUUGCAGUUCUUUCACAUACUCCUUUGUUCCUGAGCAGCCAGGAGUUUUCAGUUCGUUUCUAAGGUGCUAAAAGAGGAUCAGAGUGGCCUGAGCUCAGGGAUGCCUCACUCGAAGCUCUAACAGGAUGUGUCUUUUUAUAGAAUGAAGGUGUGAUGGUUCUCAGUGCACUGUAGAGUUUGUUCUUCAGGAAGACAAAGGAAGCACAGUGCAGAACUGUUGCUUCUGGUUUCUCUCACAGCCAGGGAGACACUGUCAUGGACAUGGAAGCUGAAGCUCUGGAUAUCCUGAUGGAGCCAUGAAAGCAGAACCAGCUCUGCUUCAGAGUUUCUUGCUAUGACGCUCAAAUAUGCAACACUUGUUUUUCAGCACUGAUUAGUUUGACCCUCAGCUCUACAAAUCCUAGUCUACAUCUGUGUCUUAUUCUGGAACAGACCCCAAAGUCCUGGAGCUGUUGUAUCUCAGCACACAAUUGCAAAAGGAGGAAUGUGAAGUGCUUCCAGCAGUGCAGCAGAAGAGAGGAAGCUGCAGUCCCCCAAGGUUCCCUGCCCACUUAAAGACCAUGUUCAUCAGGAUACACCUGCUGAGUUUCCUGCUGUGAACAUCUGACAGGCAGCUGAUACCAAAGGACAGAACCCAGGGAGCAGAGAGCCAAAGAAUGAAAGAGAAGAGAUGCUGGACAGAGAAUCCUACACCUUGUCUAGCAAACGAAUGCAAAUGCCUCACCUGCCCUUCUGACUCAGCUCCUUCCAUGGACAACAGACCUUUAUUUACUGUGGAUGAGGUCCUGGAAGUAUUCUGUUAAUAUUUUAGAGCAUCUGUGGAUGCACACAGAUGCAUCAACAACACCUUGCUCAUUCAUGUAAUUUGACUUUAUUUUUACUUACUGAAGGCAUUAAAAAAUUAACCCAAGCAGCUGUUCAGAUGCCUCUAUUUUUUUUAUGCAGCAAAGGGAAAAAAAAGUGUGAACAGCUGUGUCAGUGGAACACAUCCAGGUGGCAUCCCUAAGGCAAAGUUUCUACAAAACCUGUAAGAUAAUGUUUUUACUAUCUUAGUUAUUUUAUUUCUUUUUUAUUACAUUGCUCUUGUUGAUUCUUAAAGAGGUAUUAGCUACUUAUUUCUUCACCCUCGUCCCUCUGUGUUUGAGCUGUGCUGUAGCUCAACACAGAUGUUGCAGUGAUUCAGCCAUCAAAGGGGAAAAUCAGCCUUUCAGCAGAAUCCUUCUGAAUCUAUUCUGGGGUCUUAAAUAGGAUGUAUGUCUGGAUAAGGAGCAAUUUUACAUAUCUGGCCUUUCUAUGGGGAGAAACUCAAGAUAUGGCACCAAAAAUUGCCUUAGGGACACUCAAGAGCAGAGGGAAUUUGUUUUCCAGGUUGUAUAACUAAGUCAGCUGAUGUAGUUUUGUUGCAGUUCCUUGACAAGGUAGCUGGGUCAUCCUCAAGGAGAAGGAGAGGCUAAGACUCACACAAGAGUCUGAAAGAGCAGCUGUUUGGGACUCCAACAUGUGUAGCAUUGGGGAUUUGGAAAUCACUGGUCAAAUUCUCAGCUGGGUGAUGCUGAAAUCUGUAUUAGGUUCACUGACAAAGACACAUGAAGAAACUCCCUUACUGAAGUUCUGAAUUCCUCAGCUGGAAUCCCAGAAGUCUCCCAUUCUGCAUGGAGUAAAUUUCAGCUUUCUAAACUCUGGUGCCCUUUCCAUGCAUUUACUCUCAUGUCUCAACCAUGAGAGGCUUCCAGACACCAGGUCCAAGCUCUGCAUUUCCUGGAACCACACUCCCAAUGUGCCCUAGGCCAUCACACCACAGUCCAAACCCUACACCCUGCCCAGUCAUCCAGGGCUCAUCUGUUUGGUGCCUUCCAUAGAGAGUGUGAUUCUGUUGCUAUAAGGCAGCUUGCUGAAUUAUGGAUGUGCUAUCCAUAAACUGAUGGUUGGUAUUUUCUGCCCUGACAUCAGUCCUUGGAUUAUCAACUCUGCAGAACAAAGUGAAAACACUGAAAUGUCUGAAAAUUGCCAGCCACAUCACAGGUGUUACAGGAAAUUAUAUUCAUAAUAACGAAUAAUAAUAGCAAGGACAACUGUAAUGAUUAAGCAAUUUGUUGCUGUUACUAUUCUUUCUCUUAUUCCCACAAUAUUUGACAAAUAUGGGCUCUCCUCUCCAGAGAGCUCUUGAGACUGAAGAAAUGUUUUCAGGAGACACAGAAUACAAAGAAAAGUGUUGCUUUUCAGCUUAUAGCAUAAUGAUAGUAGAUAGAUAAAUGCCUGAAAUCUGUUUCUAUACCACUAAGAGUUUUGUUUGUUUGUUUUUUAAAUUAGCUUGAGAAACAAAUUAUGUAAAAGUAUCUGUACUGUCCUGAGAAGGACUGUCUUCCAGAGGAAAGCUCAGCAGAAUCAUCCCUGAGUCUAAAAGAAAAUUUCAUUCUCCUCUAAAUCAUUCCCCUUUGGUACAUUCUCUUCAUAUUUAGUAGGUGGAUGCAAUACCCUCUAUAUGUACUAAGCUUGUGUUAUUACAGUUUGAGCACGAUAUAUGUUUAUUUGGAGUCUAACAAGAUCAUCAAUCAGGAAAUACCACUGCACUUCAUAUUAUGUAUUUAUUUAUGGUGUUAGGAUGAAAUUUACCUGGGUCCAGAGAACAAAAUUAGGCUGUUACAGCCCUUGGUUUCAUAUAAGUUAUUUUCCUCUCAAUGCCUAUGCCCUGUGGACACAAAUUUAUUUUUCCAAUACUAGAUGAAAAAUCUCCCAUUCUUUCAUUGCCUCCAGGUAAUGAUGUCUAUACCUUUCCUUCUGCUUCCAAUUUUGUGUCCAUUACUUGAAUGCUUGAAAACAUGAAAUACAAUACCAUAAGUCACAGAGCAAGAAAAUCUGCAGUGUUUAGGGAAUAUUUAUCUUCCUUUUCAAUUCUUUUGUAAUUAAAGAAAUUCUAGUCAAUCAUUUGAUAUCUUCAGUGACAUUACCAUACUCCUGAUCUUAAACUUAGGUGCUGGUUAGCCAUUAGAAAGAAGGAAUAUUUUGCAGACAGGUUAUGGGAUGCAGAUUUGGAAAAUCUCAGUUCUUCUCCGAAGUAUGUCACACACUGAGCAAUGAAAGAUGACUUUAAAUGGAAUGUGCACUAAUAAAUGUAAAUAUGAAAGUGGAAAAUUACAUCACAAUACGAGAGCUCAAUGUAGUUAAUCAUAACAGUAAUUAUCUUAAAUAAUACUAAAAAUAUCAGUGAAAAACAUUGAGAGACCUUUGUUAAGUGUUCAAAUGUGUUCUGAUUGCUGUAUUUGACAACUCUGCAAGAACUUAAGUCUCAGAGACUUGGAAUCUCCAUGAGAUUAGAUAGUAUUUGCAUACAAAAUGCAGGAGUGAAGUUAAAUGAACAAAUGGCAAGAUUAUCUCAAAUAGAAGUGUUAUAAAACCAUUAAGCAUGUAAAAGUUGAUUCAGUUAAUUGGCUAAGGCCCAGUAAAGAUUUCACAACACUAUCAGCAGGGUGUUGAAAUACUUUAAAAAAAAACCCAAAAAAAAAACCCCAACAAACCAACAACCCAGCAACUAACAGCAUGAUUUCAGAGAAGCACUGCCAUUUAAGAAAUACUCUCUUCAGUAUUUAUUAGAUAAGAAACUGUUUAUCAGCAUGUGCGUAUGUUCUUCCUGGAAUCAAGGUCCAUGCAAUUUAUUUCACAUGCAGCAAUAUUCUCUCAGUGCCUUGCAAUUUUUCCAUGCUCAAGUACCAGGAAAAGUGGAAGGAAGAGGCAUAUACCGUUACAAAGAAGUAUAUCACAUUUAUAUUUACUUAGUGAAUUGUGCUAAGAUAGACAUGCAAUCACAGUGUAAUGAGUUAACCAACAGGAGCUCCUGGCACUUCUUGUGCAGAGAGGAAAAAAAAAUCUCAUAGGAACAUGGAUGGAUAGGAAUGUGUCAAAGCAAGGACACAAGGAAAGGUAGCUCAUACAGCUACUGAUACAAAAAAAAAAAAUUAACAUUGUGAAAUAAAAUAAAUAAAAAUGAGGUGUAACCUAUGUAAAGCAAAUGAAAGAUCUGCUCUGAACAUGCAGUAAAACUCCAGUGUAGUUGUA
This is a long non-coding RNA of Passer montanus (Eurasian tree sparrow), 4240 nucleotides long. RefSeq lists it as uncharacterized. The transcript has 3 exons. The record is from RefSeq and is a predicted model, not a curated record. Lineage: Eukaryota; Metazoa; Chordata; Aves; Passeriformes; Passeridae.